GUCUCUGGAGACUAACAUUUACUGCUACUACUAGCUAACGGCAAAGGAGCAUGUCUAAAAUGAUUUUCAUUGGUCAACGAGUCUACGUCGACAGUAUGCAAGCCAGGCUCUGUCUCAACAGAAAAAUAAAUAGAUUACCGCAGAGCAACUUCAGCCUGUAACCAGCUAGCUUUCUAGAUGUAGAAGUAGCUUCGUAAUGGUGAAAUGCGCCAUGCAAACCUUUCAACCACCAUUCCAGUAUGUUCCCAGUCACCUGGAAUUACAAAUAGAAUCUACAUUAUCAUGAAGAAAAUUAUACGGUAACCAUUGAUAAUUACAUCACCAGCUGGUCACAUGACCUCGUCAUGCAUCAUCAUCCGCCGCCAUUUUGUCAGUAUGCAUCGGAGGCAGAAAAUUUAUUCAAGCUCUGAAGUCCCAAACAACUGAAAAUGCUCCAAAACACCAUCACGUGACCCUGGUAUUCUCAAAGGGCUGGUGAAAGUGUUUGUUUUGUAGGCCUAAAUGUUUGUUGAUAGUAGAGAGGCUGAUUGAUAGACUUUAUAACAAGUCAUGAUCAACAUUCCCCAACUGUUAGUUAAUUACACUGUAGCAGACACUACAUCUGCCUAUGAGCAAUGGACAGAACUGAGAAUACCAUAUCAUGAACCGUAGUGAACAUUGCUGGCAACAUCCUGUUUUAGGAUCGAUUUCUCUACAUACAAGCCCCACCAGUGCAGUUGGCACACAACAGCAUCCCUCCUGAUCAAGUGAAAAGGAAUCCUAUGACACCGCUUGAUCUUUGUCUGACAUGGAAAUUUGCAAAUCAAAUAAGGUGGAAGAAUAACAUCUGGUUAAAAAAUUUAUGUGGAAAAAUAUCUGCUUUAAAGUGAUGUCAUGAACUGGAUGCUGCACUCUUGAUUCCAACACUAAUAUUGUCAUGACCAAAUGUUAAAGUUCAUAUUCAGCAAGUUGAAGAUAACUGACACCAUCUUAAAGUAUAAGUUUCACAAAUAUGGUAUUCAGAAGUUUUUUGUUUUCACUACUGAUGUAUAUAUAGUAUAAAAAAAUUGAUUUCUGUAAUAGAAUAAAGUAUUGGAAUACA
Molecule: long non-coding RNA, 1081 nt
Organism: Haliotis rufescens (red abalone)
Lineage: Eukaryota; Metazoa; Mollusca; Gastropoda; Lepetellida; Haliotidae
Exons: 6
Source: RefSeq, a predicted model, not a curated record